GUUCCUGUCCUGAGCCUUUCCAUAAUCCCCUUCUCAGGCCUCCACUUCCACUCCCUUUAGCAAACUAAUAUGUGGAUCCAGAGCCAUUGAUGAGUGCUUUUUAAAAAGACACAGAAAGACAAGCUUUCAUGGUAUGAGCCUCCAACUCUAUCCCUGAGGACCUUACGACCUAUUUGGGGAGAAGAAAGAUGUGAAAGGCAAGACGGGGCACAUAUGUUCAAUGCUGAGGCUUCCCUGGUGGCUCAGUGGUAAAAAAAAUCCAUCUGCCAAUGCAAGAGACACGGG
Bubalus bubalis (water buffalo) is the source of this 285-nucleotide long non-coding RNA. RefSeq lists it as uncharacterized. Lineage: Eukaryota; Metazoa; Chordata; Mammalia; Artiodactyla; Bovidae. The transcript is spliced from 3 exons. The record is from RefSeq and is a predicted model, not a curated record.